CGCGUAGGCGGCGCGGUAAGUGUGGAGUGAAAUCCCACGGCUCACCCGUGGAAUAGCUUCGCAUACUGCCGUGCUCGAGGACGGUAGGGGAGAGCGGAACUCUUGGAGGAGCGGUGAAAUGCGUAGAUAUCAAGAGGAACACCAAUGGCGAAGGCAGCUCUCUGGUCCGUUUCUGACGCUGAGGCGCGAAAGCCAGGGUAGCGAACG
This 207-nucleotide ribosomal RNA is filed under the name uncultured bacterium. Its description in RNAcentral is "partial 16S ribosomal RNA". It matches the Rfam family "Bacterial small subunit ribosomal RNA", at positions 568 to 774 of the family's 1533-position model. The record is from RNAcentral.